UACGUAGGCGGAAUAUUAAGUCAGUGGUGAAAUCCUGCAGCUUAACUGUAGAAUUGCCAUUGAUACUGGUCUUCUUGAAUUUAGUUGAGGUGGGCGGAAUGUGUAAUGUAGCGGUGAAAUGCUUAGAUAUUACACAGAACACCGAUUGCGAAGGCAGCUCACUAAACUAACAUUGACGCUAAGGUACGAAAGCGUGGGGAGCGAACAGGAUUAGAUACCCUGGUAGUCC
Molecule: ribosomal RNA, 229 nt
Filed under: uncultured bacterium
Lineage: Bacteria
Description: partial 16S ribosomal RNA
Rfam family: Bacterial small subunit ribosomal RNA
Source: RNAcentral